This is a ribosomal RNA of Oreochromis niloticus (Nile tilapia), 118 nucleotides long. NCBI's taxonomy places the organism in Eukaryota, Metazoa, Chordata, Actinopteri, Cichliformes, Cichlidae. The record is from Ensembl.
GCUUACGGCCAUACCACCCUGAACACGCCCGAUCUCGUCUGAUCUCGGAAGCUAAGCAGGGUCGGGCCUGGUCAGUACUUGGAUGGGAGACCGCCUGGGAAUACCAGUGCUGUAAGCU